UACGUAGGGUGCAAGCGUUAAUCGGAAUUACUGGGCGUAAAGCGUGCGCAGGCGGUUUUGUAAGACAGUGGUGAAAUCCCCGGGCUCAACCUGGGAACUGCCAUUGUGACUGCAAAGCUAGAGUGCGGCAGAGGGGGAUGGAAUUCCGCGUGUAGCAGUGAAAUGCGUAGAUAUGCGGAGGAACACCGAUGGCGAAGGCAAUCCCCUGGACCUGUACUGACGCUCAUGCACGAAAGCGUGGGGAGCAAACAGG
This 253-nucleotide ribosomal RNA is filed under the name uncultured bacterium. RNAcentral describes it as "partial 16S ribosomal RNA". It matches the Rfam family "Bacterial small subunit ribosomal RNA", at positions 524 to 776 of the family's 1533-position model. The record is from RNAcentral.